AUUGAACGCUGGCGGCAGGCCUAACACAUGCAAGUCGAGCGGAUGAAGGGAGCUUGCUCCUGGAUUCAGCGGCGGACGGGUGAGUAAUGCCUAGGAAUCUGCUUGGUAGUGGGGGAUAACGUCCGGAAACGGGCGCUAAUACCGCAUACGUCGUGAGGGAGAAAGUGGGGGAUCUUCGGACCUCACGCUAUCAGAUGAGCCUAGGUCGGAUUAGCUAGUUGGUGGGGUAAAGGCCGACCAAGGCGAGGAUCCGUAAGUGGUCUGAGAGGGUGAUCAGUCACACUGGAACUGAGACACGGUCCAGACGCCUACGGGAGGCAGCAGUGGGGAAUAUUGGACAAAGGGCGAAAGCCUGAUCCAGCCAUGCCGCGUGUGUGAAGAAGGUCUUCGGAUUGUAAAGCACUUUAAGUUGGGAGGAAGGGCAGUAAGUUAAUACCUUGCUGUUUUGACGUUACCAACAGAAUAAGCACCGGCUAACUUCGUG
RNAcentral lists this ribosomal RNA (484 nucleotides) under uncultured bacterium. RNAcentral describes it as "partial 16S ribosomal RNA". It matches the Rfam family "Bacterial small subunit ribosomal RNA", at positions 30 to 507 of the family's 1533-position model. The record is from RNAcentral.